Molecule: ribosomal RNA, 497 nt
Filed under: uncultured bacterium
Lineage: Bacteria
Description: partial 16S ribosomal RNA
Rfam family: Bacterial small subunit ribosomal RNA
Source: RNAcentral
GAUGAACGCUGGCGGCGUGCCUAAUACAUGCAAGUCGAGCGAACAGACGAGGCGCUUGCUCCUCUGACGUUAGCGGCGGACGGGUGAGUAACACGUGGAUAACCUACCUAUAAGACUGGGAUAACUUCGGGAAACCGGCGCUAAUCCCGGAUAAUAUAUUGAACCGCAUGGGUCAAUAGUGAAAGACGGUUGUGCGGUCACUUAUCGAUGGAUCCGCGCCGCAUUAGCUAGUUGGUAAGGUAACGGCUUACCAAGGCAACGAGGCGUAGACGACCUCAGAGGGUGAUCGGCCACCCUGGAGCGGAGACAGGGACAAGGCGCCUGCGGGAGGCAGCAGUAGGGAAUGUUAGGCAAUGGGGGAAAGCAUGACGGAGUAAGGCCGAGCGAGUGAUGAAGGUCUUCGGAGCGUAAAGCUCGGUUAUUAGGGAAGAACAAAUGUGUAAGUAACUAUGCACGGCUUGACGGUACCGAGUCAGAAAGCCACGGCUAACUACGUG